Molecule: transfer RNA, 76 nt
Filed under: Porphyromonadaceae bacterium COT-184 OH4590
Lineage: Bacteria; Pseudomonadati; Bacteroidota; Bacteroidia; Bacteroidales; Porphyromonadaceae
Description: tRNA-Trp
Rfam family: tRNA
About the family: Transfer RNA (tRNA) molecules are approximately 80 nucleotides in length.
Source: RNAcentral
ACGGGAGUAGUUCAGUUGGUAGAACGUCGGUCUCCAAAACCGAAAGUCGUGAGUUCGAGCCUUACCUCCCGUGCAA